This 76-nucleotide transfer RNA is filed under the name Arthrobacter sp. 7749. RNAcentral's name for it is "tRNA-Ala". It matches the Rfam family "tRNA". Rfam says of the family: Transfer RNA (tRNA) molecules are approximately 80 nucleotides in length. Their secondary structure includes four short double-helical elements and three loops (D, anti-codon, and T loops). The record is from RNAcentral. Lineage: Bacteria; Bacillati; Actinomycetota; Actinomycetes; Micrococcales; Micrococcaceae.
GGGGCAUUAGCUCAGUUGGUAGAGCGCUUCGUUCGCAUCGAAGAGGUCAGCGGUUCGAUUCCGCUAUGCUCCACCG